ACUUCGUACGGUUUGUGGUGGAAAGUCUUUUGCGGUGUGGGAUGGGCCCGCGGCCUAUCAGCUUGUUGGUGGGGUAAUGGCCUACCAAGGCGACGACGGGUAGCCGGCCUGAGAGGGUGUCCGGCCACACUGGGACUGAGAUACGGCCCAGACUCCUACGGGAGGCAGCAGUGGGGAAUAUUGCACAAUGGGCGCAAGCCUGAUGCAGCGACGCCGCGUGAGGGAUGACGGCCUUCGGGUUGUAAACCUCUUUCAAUAGGGACGAAGCGCAAGUGACGGUACCUAUAGAAGAAGCACCGGCCAACUACGUG
RNAcentral lists this ribosomal RNA (311 nucleotides) under uncultured bacterium. RNAcentral describes it as "bacterial SSU rRNA". It matches the Rfam family "Bacterial small subunit ribosomal RNA", at positions 179 to 507 of the family's 1533-position model. The record is from RNAcentral.